Vespula vulgaris is the source of this 3469-nucleotide long non-coding RNA. RefSeq lists it as uncharacterized. The record is from RefSeq and is a predicted model, not a curated record. The transcript is spliced from 5 exons. Lineage: Eukaryota; Metazoa; Arthropoda; Insecta; Hymenoptera; Vespidae.
AUUUUUUCAUUUGAAAUUACUUUGUUUCGUAAUGUAAAACUCUCUGUAGAGGAAUGUAAUAUUCGCCAGUGAUCAAUCAGUUACAUCAUAUGAAUAAAGGGGAGCUUCAAACUUAACAUAUUCAAAUAUUUUCUAUAUCUUUAUUUUGACGUGAGAUCAAUCAAGAUUGUAAAUCGAAUUCGGAUUAUACGCAUUAAUCAUUUUCGAAAGAAUCAUUGAAAGAACACGUACAAAUUGACAUAGACAGUACCAAGUUUGGCACCGUAGCUUGUUAAAGUCACUCAUAUGACAUAUAGAAAUCAUUUUUAAUCCUACGUUAUUAAUUUAUGUAACUCGUAUUCAAUAAUUAUGAAUUAAGGAAUUAAUCGAUCGAGAGCUAACUCCUGAGCAAAGUACCAGAUAACUAAUGGAUGAUUUUAAAUCAAGAACAUCGAGGAAUAAAAAUAACCAUUCUUCGCGUGUCUGAUUAGAGCCGUAAAAAAUGUGCCUUGGCUCUUCGUAACUAGACGUAGGCGGGCUACAAACAAGCAUGUUUCAACCUUCGAAGAAAUUCAGGACAUCAAUACAAGAUUUGUUAAUAGAUGACUUGAAUGUACGACAUAUCACUAUUGCUAGAUAAGCAGAAACAAAUUAAAGAAAAAAAAAAAGAAAAAAGAGAUAAAAAAAAAGAGAAAAAACGCAAGAAAUAUUAAAAAUAACAUAAAUCAAUUAAGCCCAACUCGUAUGUACCGUACGUAGGCUUGGUUGGCCAAGUUUAGCCAUGAGCAACCCCCGAUGAAAGAGUUUCGAGAGCUCGCCGACGCAUUUUGCGGCGGCAUGUCGCUGACUUGGUCUGCUCUAAACUCGUUCGACGACAACGACGACGACAAGAAGGAGGGACGUGCGUAAUAAUACUCGUAUUAUCUCUCCGAUAAAAUGAUUACUUGAUCGUAAGAAUAAUCGAUGACAUUCUUUGGGAUAUCAAAAUUCAAUCGUUAAGUGCGUUCAUAUCGGAAAAGAAAAGUUAUCAUUUCUUCACCCGUUCUACGUUCAAUACGUAUUAAGAAGGAAAAAAAUUAUUCAUGAAAAACAAUCAUCGAACGAUAUUCCAAUAAAGUAACUCAGGCUGAUUAUAUCGUGCAGGUAAACAUAUGGUACAGCUUAACCGCGGUUUAAACUGCACUCGUACGAAACCUCGCUCGUGAGUUGUAGGUCAGAUCCAGUCGCGCGAGCGUGUAAUUCAGACAUUAUGCUGGACGGAAUCGCUGUACAAUGCCUUCGGUUUCGUGUUACGAGGUAAAAGAAGGAAAAAGAGAGAGAGAGAAAGAGAGAGAGAAAUCCACCUUACACUAUACCUGCUAGAUGUUUCGCAAUACAUACGACUGAAUCUAAGUGGCGGAGCGUCCUCGUUGAAAGCUCUCAACUGAGGAAAACUUCAGAAGGAUCAGCGAAAGACGACGAGAGGAAGGAUGACAUCAUCGAUGCCGAAACAUCAUAUUAUUCGUUUCCGAUCAAAAAUCUUCCGUGUAGAACGAAUAACAAUAACGAAUUCGAGGUAAGUUAAGUAGAGAAAACCAAAUCGACUUGCGACGCUUCGAAAAUUCCUCCCGUAAAAUCUCUUCGAUCGACGUUGCUAUUUCUGACUGUUCCCCGCGUACCAGAUCCCCCGGAGAUCCUCUAUCCUUUCUUUCAUCGCGACUCUUUGCUCAAAAAUUAAAAUUAUUUAAAGUGUGAUAACACUUGUCAAGACAGUCGGUGACUCUUAAACUCGGCUCUUUCGCGAAACUUUAACGAUCUAUAUAUUGCGAUGGUAAUUGUUGCGAUCAGAUAAAUGCGAAAUUCGUUUGAACAACAGAACAAAUAAACGAGAAAUUUUAUUUGCAAUUUUCUCCUUUCUUCAAAUUUUGACGCAAUGGAUUUCGCGAAGAAUCCGUGUCUUCUUUUUUAAUUCUCGAAAAAAAAUGAAAAAAUAAAUAAAUAAGAUAAACAUCUUUAAACAAUCGAUAUAUAACUUGUUCUCCUUCGUUUAUUCUUAGAUCGGCGAGUCAACAUUUCCCUCCGCACUUCCGAUUUACCUUGCCGUCUAUUUUCAUACCUUCCGUUCAGAAUUCGUCUACUCUUCGGAGAAAAUUUAUAUCCAAAAUAAUCCGACUAUGUUUAUUCGCCUUUAUAUCAUAUAAAUUACAUUUGCCAUGCAAAAAAAAUGAUACGGCUGUUAUUUUAAUAAUGUUUGCUUUAAUAAUGUUGUUUUAUCGCAUACAAAAUAUACUGUGUCACUUUUGUUGCAAUCGAACGAAUAAUUAAAUUAAAUAAUACCUAGUGCAAGUAUAUAAGUACGUGCAAUAGGUUACCCAUUACCAUCAAUGAUAAGUUAGUAAUCUCCAGAUGUUAGUAAUGAUUCAUAGUCUCGAUUUUGAUGAUGUUCAAUGAUUAUCGUUUAUUAUAUAUAUGAUCGUUCGUGCAUAUUUAAUUAAAACUAUAUUAUCUACAGAAAAUUAUUCUACAUAUUCCCAAAACGUUCAACUAAUUUGCUAUUUUUAACUUUCGAUAAAUCGUACCUUAUCGCUUUUUUCAAUUAUGUACAUGCAAGACAUACGAAUAUCCAUCGCAGACAUAACUACGUAAGUACAUGGUUUAUGAUUUUUUUUUUACGGAAAGAGCGACAGCAGGGCGGGAAAGAGAAAAAUAAAUGGUUACACCAUAAAACCCAGCUUUUAUAUUGCAGAGGAAGCACACGUUUAUUUACACAGUAUAUCAUAGCGUUGACGAUGAUAAGAACAUUAACAAUGAUCUGUUUGUGUUUUCGCGAAUGCGUUAUAACAAUCUCGUGUUUCGCCUUCGCCAUAAAUUCAUUUAUAUAUUUAAUCUGAAGAAAUUAAUGAAUAUAUCAUGGAAACACCAAAAAAUUAAAAACAUGUGGAACGCAACACAUGUCGAUCCUCAAUCAACCGAUUCAUUCUUAUUUAUGCAAGAAAAUAACAAAUAGUAGUAGUCUUAUCGUUCGUCUAGAUUUUAAGUAACAAAAUGUGACUAGCAUUUUUAUUUUCGAACAAAAGACUCACUUAGAUAAAUAAAUAGAUUUGCUUAAUGAUUUAAGAGAUGUAAAUGAACGCUUUUUCAGAAUCUUCUCUCUUUUUCUUUUUCUUUUUUUUUCUUUUUUCUUUUUUACUUUUUUUUUUUUUUUUUGAAUCCUUGAUCGUUUUCUCCUUCUCAUUUCAUCUUACAAAUAUAGAAAUAUGCUCGUAGAAUUUCUUUAAAAGGAUCUUUUUCAUACAUAUGUAUUACUGUGUAAGUUUGUCGAUCUCACGAGAGUAUAAGAUAAUUUUUCAAGAAAAGUAAAAACAAAAAAAAACUAUAAUUCUAAUCCAUGAUAGGAUGGAUGAAAAAAGUUAGGAAAACGAUCAUGUGCUAAAGAGAAAGUAAUAAAGAACUGAGAAAGUAACAAAGAGAGAUAGAGAGAUAGAAAGAGAGGGAGAGAGAAAUAAAGAAA